UCCCUGGUGGACUUGUGGUUAAGCCACAGCGCUCUCUCUGCUGCAGUCCAGGUUUGAUUCCUGGCCAGGGAA
RNAcentral lists this transfer RNA (72 nucleotides) under Pangasianodon hypophthalmus (striped catfish). RNAcentral's name for it is "tRNA-Glu". Lineage: Eukaryota; Metazoa; Chordata; Actinopteri; Siluriformes; Pangasiidae. The record is from RNAcentral.